RNAcentral lists this ribosomal RNA (384 nucleotides) under Triticum aestivum (bread wheat). Its description in RNAcentral is "partial small subunit ribosomal RNA". The record is from RNAcentral. Lineage: Eukaryota; Viridiplantae; Streptophyta; Magnoliopsida; Poales; Poaceae.
AUGAAGGUGUGCCAAGGGAGCAGCUCCUCCUGGCCUGCGCACGGCAGUGGACAUCGACGAAGACGACCACAACGGACGAGGGGUGGAGAAAGUGGUGAUGAUUGCGCGGCACCCAGGGGUGGCCCACGCGAUAACACAUGCCACAAUUGUGGGCGUCAUGGCCAUUGGGCCAAGGGGCGAAGGCAGCCUACGAAAAACAUGGCUCUCCUGGCCCAAACAGAGGAAGACGAUGAGGAGCCUUCACUCCUCAUGGUGCAGGUCUGUGCCACUCCAGCCCCAGCAACAGAGGUGCAGGACAGCAUCACUCCAGCCCCAGCCAUGAAGGUCCAAGACAGCAUCACUCCAGCCCCAGCCAUGGGUACUGUGCGACUAAUGACGAACUAG